This 263-nucleotide ribosomal RNA is filed under the name uncultured bacterium. Its description in RNAcentral is "partial 16S ribosomal RNA". It matches the Rfam family "Bacterial small subunit ribosomal RNA", at positions 91 to 354 of the family's 1533-position model. The record is from RNAcentral.
UUUAGUGGCGGACGGGUGAGUAACGCGUGGGUAACCUGCCUCACACUGGGGGAUAACACUUAGAAAUAGGUGCUAAUACCGCAUAAGCGCACGGGACUGCAUGGUCUUGUGUGAAAAACUCCGGUGGUGUGAGAUGGACCCGCGUCUGAUUAGCUGGUUGGCGGGGUAACGGCCCACCAAGGCGACGAUCAGUAGCCGGCCUGAGAGGGUGGACGGCCACAUUGGGACUGAGACACGGCCCAAACUCCUACGGAAGGCAGCAG